UAGACGUUCGGGUGCCAGACCUUUGUCAUGAAUCGAAUGCUUGGCGGGCUGUAUGGAUAAUCUAAUGGGAACUUCAUGUGCGCCUGAAACAGAAGAUCGAAACGAGAUUAGUGCUGGUGGAGACGAGAGACCGAUGGUUUAUGUUUGAGCUCUUGAAAAUUGGGACCAAGCAUCAAGACUUGGUAUAUUCGAUGUUUGGAUAUGGCGGGACUUCAAACGAACGAGAAAAGAGAAAAAUGGAGAGAAGAAGAGCUCCGUUGCUAUAUUGGGAUCAACUGACACGCCAUUCCCAACAUCUGAAACUGGUCCAUAAUUUCGCAGAAAACUUACGUACAAUUAAUUUACGUUUAACGAAUGAAUGGAACAACGAUAGAAACUAUGUGUUAAAGUGAAGUUAGAAUUUGCAAAUUAUUUUGCGAAUGCAACAUCAUAAAGGUAACAAGGAACGUAUUUUUUAUUAUAAAAACAGAAUUAGGCACUCGAUGAAAAAGUUAGUUCGCAAUUGAAGAGUAUAUGUGCAAAAUUAAAACGAAUUUUGUCAGGUAAAAGUGGAACGAAAUUUGGCAUAGCGAA
RNA transcript from Athalia rosae (coleseed sawfly), 573 nucleotides. RefSeq lists it as uncharacterized. Lineage: Eukaryota; Metazoa; Arthropoda; Insecta; Hymenoptera; Athaliidae. The transcript is spliced from 3 exons. The record is from RefSeq and is a predicted model, not a curated record.